Molecule: ribosomal RNA, 440 nt
Filed under: uncultured bacterium
Lineage: Bacteria
Description: partial 16S ribosomal RNA
Rfam family: Bacterial small subunit ribosomal RNA
Source: RNAcentral
CUACGGGGCGCACCAGUGAGGAAUAUUGCACAAUGGGGGGAACCCUGAUGCAGCAAAGCCGCGUGGAGGAUGACGCAUUUCGGUGUGUAAACUCCUUUUAUAUGUCAAGAAAAUGACGGUAGCAUAUGAAUAAGCACCGGCUAACUCCGUGCCAGCAGCCGCGGUAAUACGGAGGGUGCAAGUGUGUACUCGGAAUCACUGGGCGUAAAGGACGCGUAGGCGGGUUGGAAAGUCAGGUGUGAAAUCCUACAGCUUAACUGUAGAACUGCACUUGAAACUUCUAAUCUAGAGUAUGGGAGGGGGAGAUGGAAUUAGUGGUGUAGGGGUAAAAUCCGUAGAUAUCACUAGGAAUACCUAAAGCGAAGGCGAUCUCCUGGAACAUUACUGACGCUAAGGCGUGAAAGCGUGGGGAGCAAACAGGAUUAGAUACCCGCGUACUC